Molecule: ribosomal RNA, 249 nt
Filed under: Staphylococcus aureus
Lineage: Bacteria; Bacillati; Bacillota; Bacilli; Caryophanales; Staphylococcaceae
Description: partial 16S ribosomal RNA
Rfam family: Bacterial small subunit ribosomal RNA
Source: RNAcentral
UUUAUGGAGAGUUUGAUCCUGGCUCAGGAUGAACGCUGGCGGCGUGCCUAAUACAUGCAAGUCGAGCGAACGGACGAGAAGCUUGCUUCUCUGAUGUUAGCGGCGGACGGGUGAGUAACACGUGGAUAACCUACCUAUAAGACUGGGAUAACUUCGGGAAACCGGAGCUAAUACCGGAUAAUAUUUUGAACCGCAUGGUUCAAAAGUGAAAGACGGUCUUGCUGUCACUUAUAGAUGGAUCCGCGCUGC